AAUGAUAAAGCCAAACUUGUCGAAAGACAGGGACGGAAAGCCACGGGUCUGGAAGAUAGCCGGGUUGCCUUUG
RNAcentral lists this non-coding RNA (73 nucleotides) under Desulfobulbaceae bacterium. Its description in RNAcentral is "c-di-GMP sequence". It matches the Rfam family "c-di-GMP-I-GGC riboswitch aptamer". Lineage: Bacteria; Pseudomonadati; Thermodesulfobacteriota; Desulfobulbia; Desulfobulbales; Desulfobulbaceae. The record is from RNAcentral.